This 258-nucleotide long non-coding RNA is filed under the name Homo sapiens (human). Its description in RNAcentral is "non-protein coding lnc-CNBD2-2:1". The record is from RNAcentral. Lineage: Eukaryota; Metazoa; Chordata; Mammalia; Primates; Hominidae.
UCCCUUUCUGAAUUCAUAUGAUGAAGAUCAGGGAUCCAAACUUAUUCAAAAAGCUAAAGAGGCACCAUUCGUACUUGUUGGAAUAGAAGGUUUUGCAGCAAUUGUUGCAUAUGGAUUAUACAAAUUGAAGAGCAGGGGAAAUACUAAAAUGUCCCUUCAUCUGAUCCACAUGGGUGUGGCAGCCCAAGGCUUUGUUGUAGGAGCAAUGACUGUUGUUAUAUCAUGUAUCGAGAAUUCUGGGCAAAACCUAAGCCUUAG